RNAcentral lists this small RNA (629 nucleotides) under Pan troglodytes (chimpanzee). RNAcentral's name for it is "processed transcript". The record is from RNAcentral. Lineage: Eukaryota; Metazoa; Chordata; Mammalia; Primates; Hominidae.
AGUGGGACCAUGUGAGACAUCUUGAGGCCAUCCACGUUCCUGCUUAAAGAGCCCGGGACCAGCGCAGAGGGCCUGAUGCCUGAUCUGCCAAGUCUGUCCGACCAUGCCUGUCUGCUGUCCCCCUAGCUGUUCCAGUGGUGGAUUGGCAGGACCGGGUGCCCACCUGGUACUCCUUACCGAAGGAGCCCCUGGUAGUGCCCACCUAGCCCAGGACAAGGAGUGGAACGGGAGCUGCAGCUGCAGUGGUCACGAGGGCAGCCUGGAGGAGGUGGCCAUGAAGGAUAGCCUUCAUAUCGUCAGCCUCUGUUUCCAAGGAAACAAGACUCUAGGUCCACUUUGCCGUCCAGACCUGAAGCUGACCCUUCAUACACAGCCCUGUGAUACUUUGAGCCUGCUUGCCUCAAAACACUGCUUGCUUUACACUUCACCUAACUCCACCCUUCCCCUCAAUUCUUUAAUAACCUUUCCCUUUGUUCAGCCAGAUCACUAUAGUUCCUCUGCUGGGUGGUUUCCCUCAUUGGAAUAAGUCAACAACUGGGUUUGUUUCUGGUGGUUUUAGGCUGACUUGGCGAGGACUAGCCUAAAAAUUAACCCAAAGGAGAAAAAUAAAAUUGUAUGCAUGAAGAUGG